UGGGGAAUAUUGGACAAUGGGCGCAAGCCUGAUCCAGCCAUGCCGCGUGAGUGAUGAAGGCCCUAGGGUUGUAAAGCUCUUUCACCGGUGAAGAUAAUGACGGUAACCGGAGAAGAAGCCCCGGCUAACUUCGUGCCAGCAGCUGCGGUAAUACGAAGGGGGCUAGCGUUGUUCGGAUUUACUGGGCGUAAAGCGCACGUAGGCGGACUAUUAAGUCAGGGGUGAAAUCCCGGGGCUCAACCCCGGAACUGCCUUUGAUACUGGUAGUCUUGAGUUCUAGAGAGGUGAGUGGAAUUCCGAGUGUAGAGGUGAAAUUCGUAGAUAUUCGGAGGAACACCAGUGGCGAAGGCGGCUCACUGGCUCGAUACUGACGCUGAGGUGCGAAAGCGUGGGGAGCAAACAGG
Molecule: ribosomal RNA, 404 nt
Filed under: Actinomycetes bacterium
Lineage: Bacteria; Bacillati; Actinomycetota; Actinomycetes
Description: Actinobacteria bacterium partial 16S ribosomal RNA
Rfam family: Bacterial small subunit ribosomal RNA
Source: RNAcentral